GGGGAUAUAACUCAGUUGGCAGAGUGUUUGCCCCAAAUGCACAAGACCCUGGGUUCAAUCCCCAGCACCACCC
Molecule: non-coding RNA, 73 nt
Organism: Ictidomys tridecemlineatus (thirteen-lined ground squirrel)
Lineage: Eukaryota; Metazoa; Chordata; Mammalia; Rodentia; Sciuridae
Source: Rfam